UGCUGGGAGCUGCAGUGUGGGAUCUGUGCUGGGAAGGUCACUGCAGUGCUGUGGGAUCUGCUGGGCUGGCUCUGGCACGGGUCAGGCCAUAAGGGAAGGGACUGGCCCACGCUCAGGGUUUUCCAGAUGCUGCCCUUGGCAGGCAAGGGGAGCUGGGAGAGAGAGUUAAGCUCAGAGUGCUGAGGGUUCCUUUGACAUGUGCAGCAUCUCUCCCUCAGGUUAUGCCUGCCGGAACAUCUCCGCCUCCGCCGCCCUGCAGGCCAGGACCCACGUGAGCUGUGACAUCAAAGGGGACGUCGCCGUCGUGCGGUUCAACACCCCCAAUUCCAAGGUACUGGGAAUUCCCACUGCAGGCUGAGAACUUCCCUGACCUGCAGCCUGACGAAGCUGGGAGAGGAGGAGGAACAGGGAGAGGAGGUUCUGGGUGUCUGG
Long non-coding RNA from Corapipo altera (White-ruffed manakin), 432 nucleotides. RefSeq lists it as uncharacterized. The record is from RefSeq and is a predicted model, not a curated record. The transcript has 3 exons. NCBI's taxonomy places the organism in Eukaryota, Metazoa, Chordata, Aves, Passeriformes, Pipridae.